UAUAUGCUGGAAUGCUUUAUGCGUAAAAUGGAUUCGUCUGCCCAAGGAUGGGUCUGCGGCCUAUCAGGUAGUAGUGGGUGUAAUGUACCUACUAGCCUACAACGGGUACGGGUUGUGAGAGCAAGAGCCCGGAGAUGGAUUCUGAGACAUGAAUCCAGGCCCUACGGGGCGCAGCAGGCGCGAAAACUUUACAAUGCGGGAAACCGUGAUAAGGGGACACCGAGUGCCAGCAUCAUAUGUUGGCUGUCCAGAUGUGUAAAAUACAUCUGUUAGCAAGGGCCGGGCAAGACCGGUGCCAGCCGCCGCGGUAACACCGGCGGCCCGAGUGGUGAUCGUGAUUAUUGGGUCUAAAGGGUCCGUAGCCGGUUUGGUCAGUCCUCCGGGAAAUCUGACGGCUCAACCGUUAGGCUUUCGGUGGAUACUGCCAGACUUGGAACCGGGAGAGGUAAGAGGUACUACAGGGGUAGGAGUGAAAUCUUGUAAUCCCUGUGAGACCACCUGUGGCGAAGGCGUCUUACCAGAACGGGUUCGACGGUGAGGGACGAAAGCUGGGGGCACGAACCGGAUUAGAUACCCGGGUAGUCCCAGCCGUAAACGAUGCUCGCUAGGUGUCAGGCAUGGCGCGACCGUGUCUGGUGCCGCAGGGAAGCCGUGAAGCGAGCCACCUGGGAAGUACGGCCGCAAGGCUGAAACUUAAAGGAAUUGGCGGGGGAGCACAACAACGGGUGGAGCCUGCGGUUUAAUUGGACUCAACGCCGGACAACUCACCGGGGACGACAGCAAAAUGUAGGCCAGGCUGAAGACCUUGCCUGAAUCGCUGAGAGGAGGUGCAUGGCCGUCGCCAGUUCGUACUGUGAAGCAUCCUGUUAAGUCAGGCAACGAGCGAGACCCGUGCCCACUGUUACCAGCAUGUCCUCCGGGACGAUGGGUACUCUGUGGGGACCGCCGAUGUUAAAUCGGAGGAAGGUGCGGGCCACGGUAGGUCAGUAUGCCCCGAAUUUCCCGGGCUACACGCGGGCUACAAUGAAUGGGACAAUGGGUCCCUCCCCUGAAAAGGGCUGGUAAUCUCCCAAACCCAUCCGUAG
Molecule: ribosomal RNA, 1085 nt
Filed under: Methanosarcina thermophila
Lineage: Archaea; Methanobacteriati; Methanobacteriota; Methanomicrobia; Methanosarcinales; Methanosarcinaceae
Description: bacterial SSU rRNA
Rfam family: Archaeal small subunit ribosomal RNA
Source: RNAcentral